This 441-nucleotide ribosomal RNA is filed under the name uncultured bacterium. RNAcentral describes it as "partial 16S ribosomal RNA". It matches the Rfam family "Bacterial small subunit ribosomal RNA", at positions 338 to 795 of the family's 1533-position model. The record is from RNAcentral.
CCUACGGGAGACAGCAGUGGGGAAUAUUGCGCAAUGGGGGAAAGCCUGAUGCAGCGACGCCGCGUGGGGGAAGGAGGUUUUCGGAAUGUAAAGCCCUAUCAGCAGGGAAGAACGAUGACGGUGCCUGUCUGCACUGCACCGGCUAAAUCAGCGCCAGCAGCAGCGGCAAUACGUGUGGUGGAAGCGUUAUCCGGAUUUACUGGGGGUAAAGGGCGCGGAGGCGGUGGGUUAAGCCUGGUGUGAAGCCCCGGGGCCCAACCGGGGGACUGCAUUGGGAACUGGCGAGCUGGAGUGCCGGAGGGGUAGGCGGAAUUCCUAGUGUAGCGGUGAAAUGCGUAGAUAUUAGGAGGAACACCAGUGGCGAAGGCGGCCUACUGGAAGGUGACUGACGCUGAGGCGCGAAAGCGUGGGGAGCAAACAGGAUUAGAUACCCCGGUAGUC